GGGAAGGCUCAUAGCUCAGUGGCAGAGCAGCUGCCUUGAGUGCAGAAGGUCCCAGGUUCAAUCCCCAGCCUGUCCA
Molecule: transfer RNA, 76 nt
Filed under: Podarcis lilfordi (Lilford's wall lizard)
Lineage: Eukaryota; Metazoa; Chordata; Lepidosauria; Squamata; Lacertidae
Description: tRNA.Ser
Rfam family: tRNA (bases 5-72)
About the family: Transfer RNA (tRNA) molecules are approximately 80 nucleotides in length.
Source: RNAcentral